Tigriopus californicus is the source of this 759-nucleotide long non-coding RNA. RefSeq lists it as uncharacterized. The record is from RefSeq and is a predicted model, not a curated record. NCBI's taxonomy places the organism in Eukaryota, Metazoa, Arthropoda, Copepoda, Harpacticoida, Harpacticidae. The transcript has 3 exons.
GCCACGAUGGUCAGUAGGCUGGAAACAACCAAUAUAAAUUGGAAGACAUCACUCCACAUUAUGGCUUGAACUCCGCCCUGAAAAAGCACCAAAUGUUAUCAAAAGCGUAUACAGUAUCAGGCAUGGCAAAUGACUCGUCAAAACGGUUCAUUGUGGACAAUAUUCGGCGGCUUGAAAUGAUCAUCUCAAGCAUUCUCAUCGAACGAAUGAAACAAUCGCUACCGAAUAUGGGGAUCAAAAGCAUGACAAUCAUGCCACCAAACAAGGAACUUAUCAUCAUUGUCCAUGGUCCAAUUGUUCCAAAGUAAGCAGCAUCGCCAGGAAUGACUGAAAAACAUGAAUACGUGGAAAAAACCAUUGAGAAUCAAAGUGCUCAUUACACGUUGAAGACUUGUUGAUUGUUAUAAAUGUACAACAUCAAAGCAUCUUUCAAGUAAACCAUUUUAAGAUUGCCAUCAUGCAAGAACUUGUGGGCUUUUAAUAUUGACUUUCAAGAUUAUUUUAUGUGGCAUUUACUUUUCCGAGAUAGCCCUUCCUUGAAGUCAUGAUGAUGCGUGGUUCGUGAACUUUUUGACAUUUAUCAGACUGAGCCUCACCCCAAAAAGUGAUUGGAACGAUCGAGCUCCUUCAGGGAGGUAUGCUGUGCUUUAAGUAUAGUGGGGGUCUUUUUUUAUCGAACUAUUUCCUUCAUAUUGAGCCCUUAAUUCUAAAGAGGAAGGAAAUGUCAUGGUACAUCCUCGACUGAUCUUCCCAGAAGAA